CACCAGCGCCACGAGUGGCUAUCACGAUUAUUGGGCCUAAAGCGUCCGUAGUCUGUUCUGUACAUCUUCUGUGAAAUCGCUGCGCUUAACGUAGCGGCAUGCGGAAGACACGGCAGAGCUUGAGACCGGGAGGCGUCGAGGGUAUUCUUAGGGGACCGGUAAAAUGGUAUAAUCCUAAGAGGACCACCUGUGGCGAAGGCGCUCGACGAGAACGGAUCUGACGAUGAGGGACGAAAGCCAGGGGAGCAAACCGG
RNAcentral lists this ribosomal RNA (254 nucleotides) under uncultured bacterium. RNAcentral's name for it is "partial 16S ribosomal RNA". It matches the Rfam family "Archaeal small subunit ribosomal RNA", at positions 474 to 727 of the family's 1478-position model. The record is from RNAcentral.